RNAcentral lists this unclassified non-coding RNA (272 nucleotides) under Hevea brasiliensis (rubber tree). Lineage: Eukaryota; Viridiplantae; Streptophyta; Magnoliopsida; Malpighiales; Euphorbiaceae. The record is from RNAcentral.
GUGGAUUUGCCUUCAGAUUAGAAGAGAAGAGAACUCAAUGAUUAGUUUAUACCACCCUUCUUUCCAUGUGGAAUACUUUAUUGCAAUUUAAUCAACAUUACCUCCUAGAUUUUGUUUAUAUGUGUGGAAUAUUUACUUGUAAGUUCAAUCAAAACUAAUAAAACAGAAACGUAAAGGCCAAUUGAGCUUGUCCAUUUACUAAUUGUCAGAGUCAAACUGACGCAUAAAAACAAACACUAAGGAACUUACAGGUAAUCCACCAUCUGCAUCAA